GGUUAAGCGACUAAGCGUACACGGUGGAUGCCCUGGCAGUCAGAGGCGAUGAAGGACGUGCUAAUCUGCGAAAAGCGUCGGUAAGGUGAUAUGAACCGUUAUAACCGGCGAUGUCCGAAUGGGGAAACCCAGUGCAAUUCGUUGCACUAUCGUUAACUGAAUACAUAGGUUAACGAGGCGAACCGGGGGAACUGAAACAUCUAAGUACCCCGAGGAAAAGAAAUCAACCGAGAUUCCCCCAGUAGCGGCGAGCGAACGGGGAGCAGCCCAGAGUCUGAAUCAGCUUGUGUGUUAGUGGAACGGUCUGGAAAGUCCGACGGUACAGGGUGAUAGUCCCGUACACCAAAAUGCACAGGCUGUGAACUCGAAGAGUAGGGCGGGACACGUGGUAUCCUGUCUGAAUAUGGGGGGACCAUCCUCCAAGGCUAAAUACUCCUGACUGACCGAUAGUGAACCAGUACCGUGAGGGAAAGGCGAAAAGAACCCCGGCGAGGGGAGUGAAAAAGAACCUGAAACCGUGUACGUACAAGCAGUGGGAGCACCUUCGGGUGUGACUGCGUACCUUUUGUAUAAUGGGUCAGCGACUUAUAUUCUGUAGCAAGGUUAACCGUAUAGGGGAGCCGCAGGGAAACCGAGUCUUAACUGGGCGUUAAGUUGCAGGGUAUAGACCCGAAACCCGGUGAUCUAGCCAUGGGCAGGUUGAAGGUUGGGUAACACUAACUGGAGGACCGAACCGACUAAUGUUGAAAAAUUAGCGGAUGACUUGUGGCUGGGGGUGAAAGGCCAAUCAAACCGGGAGAUAGCUGGUUCUCCCCGAAAGCUAUUUAGGUAGCGCCUCGUGAACUCAUCUUCGGGGGUAGAGCACUGUUUCGGCUAGGGGGUCAUCCCGACUUACCAACCCGAUGCAAACUACGAAUACCGAAGAAUGUUAUCACGGGAGACACACGGCGGGUGCUAACGUCCGUCGUGAAGAGGGAAACAACCCAGACCGCCAGCUAAGGUCCCAAAGUCAUGGUUAAGUGGGAAACGAUGUGGGAAGGCACAGACAGCCAGGAUGUUGGCUUAGAAGCAGCCAUCAUUUAAAGAAAGCGUAAUAGCUCACUGGUCGAGUCGGCCUGCGCGGAAGAUGUAACGGGGCUAAACCAUGCACCGAAGCUGCGGCAGCGACACUAUGUGUUGUUGGGUAGGGGAGCGUUCUGUAAGCCUGCGAAGGUGUGCUGUGAGGCAUGCUGGAGGUAUCAGAAGUGCGAAUGCUGACAUAAGUAACGAUAAAGCGGGUGAAAAGCCCGCUCGCCGGAAGACCAAGGGUUCCUGUCCAACGUUAAUCGGGGCAGGGUGAGUCGACCCCUAAGGCGAGGCCGAAAGGCGUAGUCGAUGGGAAACAGGUUAAUAUUCCUGUACUUGGUGUUACUGCGAAGGGGGGACGGAGAAGGCUAUGUUAGCCGGGCGACGGUUGUCCCGGUUUAAGCAUGUAGGCUGUUAUCCAGGCAAAUCCGGAUAAUCAAGGCUGAGGUGUGAUGACGAGGCACUACGGUGCUGAAGUAACAAAUGCCCUGCUUCCAGGAAAAGCCUCUAAGCAUCAGGUAACAUCAAAUCGUACCCCAAACCGACACAGGUGGUCAGGUAGAGAAUACCAAGGCGCUUGAGAGAACUCGGGUGAAGGAACUAGGCAAAAUGGUGCCGUAACUUCGGGAGAAGGCACGCUGGUGUGUAGGUGAAGUCCCUGCGGAUGGAGCUGAGACCAGUCGAAGAUACCAGCUGGCUGCAACUGUUUAUUAAAAACACAGCACUGUGCAAACACGAAAGUGGACGUAUACGGUGUGACGCCUGCCCGGUGCCGGAAGGUUAAUUGAUGGGGUUAUCCGUAAGGAGAAGCUCUUGAUCGAAGCCCCGGUAAACGGCGGCCGUAACUAUAACGGUCCUAAGGUAGCGAAAUUCCUUGUCGGGUAAGUUCCGACCUGCACGAAUGGCGUAAUGAUGGCCAGGCUGUCUCCACCCGAGACUCAGUGAAAUUGAACUCGCUGUGAAGAUGCAGUGUACCCGCGGCAAGACGGAAAGACCCCGUGAACCUUUACUAUAGCUUGACACUGAACAUUGAGCCUUGAUGUGUAGGAUAGGUGGGAGGCUUUGAAGCGUGGACGCCAGUCUGCGUGGAGCCAACCUUGAAAUACCACCCUUUAAUGUUUGAUGUUCUAACGUUGGCCCCUGACCGGGGUUGCGGACAGUGUCUGGUGGGUAGUUUGACUGGGGCGGUCUCCUCCCAAAGCGUAACGGAGGAGCACGAAGGUUAGCUAAUCCUGGUCGGACAUCAGGAGGUUAGUGCAAUGGCAUAAGCUAGCUUGACUGCGAGCGUGACGGCGCGAGCAGGUGCGAAAGCAGGUCAUAGUGAUCCGGUGGUUCUGAAUGGAAGGGCCAUCGCUCAACGGAUAAAAGGUACUCCGGGGAUAACAGGCUGAUACCGCCCAAGAGUUCAUAUCGACGGCGGUGUUUGGCACCUCGAUGUCGGCUCAUCACAUCCUGGGGCUGAAGUAGGUCCCAAGGGUAUGGCUGUUCGCCAUUUAAAGUGGUACGCGAGCUGGGUUUAGAACGUCGUGAGACAGUUCGGUCCCUAUCUGCCGUGGGCGCUGGAGAAUUGAGGGGGGCUGCUCCUAGUACGAGAGGACCGGAGUGGACGCAUCACUGGUGUUCGGGUUGUCAUGCCAAUGGCACUGCCCGGUAGCUAAAUGCGGAAGAGAUAAGUGCUGAAAGCAUCUAAGCACGAAACUUGCCCCGAGAUGAGUUCUCCCUGAGACUUUAAGUCUCCUGAAGGAACGUUAAAGACGAUGACGUUGAUAGGCCGGGUGUGUAAGCGCAGCGAUGCGUUGAGCUAACCGGUACUAAUGAACCGUGAGGCUUAACCUU
Molecule: ribosomal RNA, 2901 nt
Filed under: Klebsiella pneumoniae
Lineage: Bacteria; Pseudomonadati; Pseudomonadota; Gammaproteobacteria; Enterobacterales; Enterobacteriaceae
Description: 23S ribosomal RNA
Rfam family: Bacterial large subunit ribosomal RNA
Source: RNAcentral